Molecule: ribosomal RNA, 460 nt
Filed under: uncultured bacterium
Lineage: Bacteria
Description: partial 16S ribosomal RNA
Rfam family: Bacterial small subunit ribosomal RNA
Source: RNAcentral
CCUACGGGAGACAGCAGUGAGGAAUAUUGGUCAAUGGGCGCAAGCCUGAACCAGCCAAGUCGCGUGAAGGAUGAAGGUUCUACGGUUUGUAAACUUCUUUUAUAGGGGAAUAAAGUUAGGCACGUGUGCCUUUUUGUAUGUACUCUAUGAAUAAGGAUCGGCUAACUCCGUUCCAGCAGCCGCGGUAAUACGGGGGAUCCGAGCGUUAUCCGGAUUUGUUGGGUUGAAGGGGUGCGUAGCCGGGGUGUUAAGUCAGGGGUGAAAUUCUGGGGCUCAACCGGAGAAUUGCCAUUGAUACUGGCAGACUAGAGUAAGGUUGAGGUAGGAGGAAUGCGUGGUGUAGCGGUGAAAUGCAUAGAUAUCACGAAGAACACCGAUUGCGAAGGCAGCUUACUAAGCAGAGACUGACGCUGAGGCACGAAAGCGUGGGUAUCAAACAGGAUUAGAUACCCGAGUAGUC